This is a long non-coding RNA of Lutra lutra (Eurasian river otter), 341 nucleotides long. RefSeq lists it as uncharacterized. Lineage: Eukaryota; Metazoa; Chordata; Mammalia; Carnivora; Mustelidae. The record is from RefSeq and is a predicted model, not a curated record. The transcript is spliced from 3 exons.
CGGCUCAGACAAACUCACUGAUUUGCGAUCUGGUCACACUGGCGUUGCUCUAUCUAAGAUUUUACAUGUCUGCACGAUACCAGCAGGGAAGAGCGGUUCCAGUUCAGAGAGACCAUUGUGAAGCAUACCUUAUGUGUUUAAAGCACUUUAUAAAUGGUUUUACAGUGCAUCUCUGCCCACACAAUACCUUCUGUGAUCCUCACAACAACCCUGUGAGGUGAACACAUCAAAAACAUCCUUGCUGAAGAACAGCCUCCUUUAGAAUGGUAUCUUUGGCUAAAAAUGGAGCCCAAGGGCUUUGCCAAAACCUGGAGUUAAUCUCCCUUCAUAAAUGACACUCU